GUGUCGCCAGACGCAUUGCCCGGUAGCUAAGUUCGGAAUUGAUAAGCGCUGAAAGCAUCUAAGCGCGAAGCGAGCCCUGAGAUGAGUCUUCCCUGACAGUUUAACUGUCCUAAAGGGUUGUUCGAGACUAGAACGUUGAUAGGCAGGGUGUGUAAGCGUUGUGAGGCGUUGAGCUAACCUGUACUAAUUGCCCGUGAGGCUUA
This 203-nucleotide ribosomal RNA is filed under the name Vibrio cholerae. Its description in RNAcentral is "partial 23S ribosomal RNA". It matches the Rfam family "Bacterial large subunit ribosomal RNA", at positions 2723 to 2925 of the family's 2925-position model. Lineage: Bacteria; Pseudomonadati; Pseudomonadota; Gammaproteobacteria; Vibrionales; Vibrionaceae. The record is from RNAcentral.